GCGAGGCGGAGGGCCGGCCGGUCCUCGUCCUGCCGGGACGGCCCGAGGCGGCGCUCGCCGCCUUCCUGGCGCUCGGCGCGCCCCUGCUCGCGC
This 93-nucleotide transfer RNA is filed under the name Methylobacterium hispanicum. RNAcentral's name for it is "tRNA-Gly". Lineage: Bacteria; Pseudomonadati; Pseudomonadota; Alphaproteobacteria; Hyphomicrobiales; Methylobacteriaceae. The record is from RNAcentral.